GAUGCGAUCUCUUCAGCGUGAGAAGAAACGGGAUGCUGGGAGGGAACGGCGGCAGCGAUCGACGACGACGACGAGCGGUCUCCAGAACUGACCUGAGCUAGUGUGAUCAGUCUGCCUGCCUCUGUGAUCCCCCGCAGCACUGGCUGGAAGUCCACCGCAUGUCAGUGAGGAGCUGCUGCAGAAGGAAGAAGAAGAAGCGGCGUGGGGACCUGGGAGGCAGGAGCAAGCAAGAAGAGGAAGCGGAAGCGUGCAGAUGCGGGGGGGAAGGAGAGAGGCUCCCUGGGCAAAGCACCUGUCCCGUUAGCAGGGGCACAGUCACGUUUGAGUUGAGAGCUGCCGGCGCCUUUGGUGACCAGGCUGGCGUUGUGCUGGGCGACCUCCCCGUAAGCGGGGCUCGGGUCUUUGCUGUAGUUGGCCUUUUGCCUUGCUGCUCCUUUGGCUGCCUGGGGAGCGUGGCCCCCUGUAACGGAGGGCGAGAGCCACCUCUCCGCACCUGAGUGGGAAAUGGAGCUCGCCGGACCCCAAGGCCACCCUGUAAGCAGGGUAGUGCCGUUUCCCUGCCCCUCUUCCUCCCCCGGCCCCUCGGCAUCGUUGCCUGAUGGUGGCUUGUCAAUGCGACGGCCCCGUACUCGGGGUGUGCGUCACGGCAUUUGGCCGUUGGCUUUACCUGAGAAGCCCCUUGGCACGUUGAGGUCUGUGGCCUCCGUGCAGCCUAGGGACAGGUCACAGGCUCUUGUCUGUUGCCCGUGGUUGUGGGUUUAUUCCCAGGUGUUGGCUGUGCUGCGUUGUCCUUCCCUUCUGGAAAGUCGUGCCUGUGUGUGCGUGUUCCCCUUCCUUUCCUUGAUUGUGUUUGUGGAGUGGUUGAGCGGCUGUGCUUUCCCUUUAGGCCUCCACAAAGAUGGCUGCAGCUUAGCUUUGACUUCCCAGGGGGGAAUGGAGGACUUUGGUGCAUGCCACAAAAGGGGUGUUCCCUCUUAGUCCUGCGAGCGCAGCGAGUGUCCUGUCUUCCUACUAUUUUCCUUAGUGCAGAUCAGAGCCACACGGUAGUUCUGUGGCCAAGGCCUCCCUGUAGCCAGGGCUUGGGCCUGUCCUUGCGUGGCCGCCUGUCCUGCUGGCGGCGGUGACAGCCCCGUACUCGGGGUGUGUGUCCCAAGCUUCGGAGCCCUCUGUCCCUGAGCAGCCCGCCCGCCCUGUAAUCAGGUGUGGGGAGGCUGCAGCGUUGCAGCCGGCUGCUUUAGCCAUCCAGCUGGUGGGAGUGACCCCUCCCUGUCCCGUCAGAGGGUGCAGGUUGAGGUGCUGUUUGUGUGUGGGGUGACCUCCCCGCUCGGUGGGUCGAGGUAGCUCCCUGGGCUUCCAAAGACGAGACGUUGGUGAUGUUCUGCUGCUGCCGGGCGGGCCAGCCUGUAACUCAGGCGUUGGCGGGAGCCUCGUGCUCCGCGGGGCUUCUUGAAGAGGGUGAGGUGUGGGGGUACCGUCCUGUAGGCAGGGCUGUGUGUGCCCCCUGUGUGUGCUUGGUGAGCUGCGUUCUGAGAGACCCCCUGUACUCAGGUGGGAAUGUGGCCCCGGCCUUUCAGAGGCGCGGGGCCGUGAGAUGUGGGGUGGGGCUUGCGCCCUCCCUGGAAUCGGGGCUGGGAUCCCGACUGCGGCCUUUGGCCGUGCCGCCCCGCUGCCUGGCUGCUGAGAGUUGCUCCUGCCGCUGGGGGGGAAACCGAGCUCUGUGGCUCCAGGGGUGUUGUCCACCCGCCUGUAAUCAGGGUCUGGGUGCGUGAGCGUUUGUGCUCUGCUGGCAGCCUGUGUGGGGUGACCGCCCCGCUAGCGGGGUGUGGGUCGAGGUGCCCCGGACUGGGAGAGAAGGAGCCUCCCUCGGCCGUAGGGAUGGGGGCUGCCCUGUAAGUCAGGGAGCAUCUGUGUCCCGGAGUCCCAGGCCCUUUUCAAUGGCGGCAGUGGCCGGGGGUCCCCUGUAAGCAGGGAAGCUGACUCUUUGGCUGCUGCUUUUUGUGUGCCCAGCCCCAUUUGCCCAGUCUGCCCGCCUCUGUGAUCCCCCGCAGCACUGGCUGGAAGUCCGCCGCGUGUCAGUGAGGAGCUGCUGCAGAAGGAAGAAGAAGAAGCAGCGUGGGACCUGGGAGGCAGGAGCAAGCAAGAAGAGGAAGCGGAAGCGUGCAGAUGCGGGGGGGAAGGAGAGAGGCUCCCUGGGCAAAGCACCUGUCCCGUUAGCAGGGGCACAGUCACGUUUGAGUUGAGAGCUGCCGGCGCCUUUGGUGACCAGGCUGGCGUUGUGCUGGGCGACCUCCCCGUAAGCGGGGCUCGGGUCUUUGCUGUAGUUGGCCUUUUGCCUUGCUGCUCCUUUGGCUGCCUGGGGAGCGUGGCCCCCUGUAACGGAGGGCGAGAGCCACCUCUCCGCACCUGAGUGGGAAAUGGAGCUCGCCGGACCCCAAGGCCACCCUGUAAGCAGGGUAGUGCCGUUUCCCUGCCCCUCUUCCUCCCCCGGCCCCUCGGCAUCGUUGCCUGAUGGUGGCUUGUCAAUGCGACGGCCCCGUACUCGGGGUGUGUGUCCCAAGCUUUGGCGCCCUCUGUCCCUGAGCAGCCCGCCCGCCCUGUAAUCAGGUGUGGGGAGGCUGCAGCGUUGCAGCCGGCUGCUUUAGCCAUCCAGCUGGUGGGAGUGACCCCUCCCUGUCCCGUCAGAGGGUGCAGGUUGAGGUGCUGUUUGUGUGUGGGGUGACCUCCCCGCUCGGUGGGUCGAGGUAGCUCCCUGGGCUUCCAAAGACGAGACGUUGGUGAUGUUCUGCUGCUGCCGGGCGGGCCAGCCUGUAACUCAGGCGUUGGCGGGAGCCUCGUGCUCCGCGGGGCUUCUUGAAGAGGGUGAGGUGUGGGGGUACCGUCCUGUAGGCAGGGCUGUGUGUGCCCCCCGUGUGUGCUUGGUGAGCUGCGUUCUGAGAGACCCCCUGUACUCAGGUGGGAAUGUGGCCCCGGCCUUUCAGAGGCGCGGGGCCGUGAGAUGCGGGGUGGGGCUUGCGCCCUCCCUGGAAUCGGGGCUGGGAUCCCGACUGCGGCCUUUGGCCGUGCCGCCCCGCUGCCUGGCUGCUGAGAGUUGCUCCUGCCGCUGGGGGGGAAACCGAGCUCUGUGGCUCCAGGGGUGUUGUCCACCCGCCUGUAAUCAGGGUCUGGGUGCGUGAGCGUUUGUGCUCUGCUGGCAGCCUGUGUGGGGUGACCGCCCCGCUAGCGGGGUGUGGGUCGAGGUGCCCCGGACUGGGAGAGAAGGAGCCUCCCUCGGCCGUAGGGAUGGGGGCUGCCCUGUAAGUCAGGGAGCAUCUGUGUCCCGGAGUCCCAGGCCCUUUUCAAUGGCGGCAGUGGCCGGGGGUCCCCUGUAAGCAGGGAAGCUGACUCUUUGGCUGCUGCUUUUUGUGUGCCCAGCCCCAUUUGCCCAGUCUGCCCGCCUCUGUGAUCCCCCGCAGCACUGGCUGGAAGUCCGCCGCGUGUCAGUGAGGAGCUGCUGCAGAAGGAAGAAGAAGAAGCGGCGUGGGGACCUGGGAGGCAGGAGCAAGCAAGAAGAGGAAGCGGAAGCGUGCAGAUGCGGGGGGGAAGGAGAGAGGCUCCCUGGGCAAAGCACCUGUCCCGUUAGCAGGGGCACAGUCACGUUUGAGUUGAGAGCUGCCGGCGCCUUUGGUGACCAGGCUGGCGUUGUGCUGGGCGACCUCCCCGUAAGCGGGGCUCGGGUCUUUGCUGUAGUUGGCCUUUUGCCUUGCUGCUCCUUUGGCUGCCUGGGGAGCGUGGCCCCCUGUAACGGAGGGCGAGAGCCACCUCUCCGCACCUGAGUGGGAAAUGGAGCUCGCCGGACCCCAAGGCCACCCUGUAAGCAGGGUAGUGCCGUUUCCCUGCCCCUCUUCCUCCCCCGGCCCCUCGGCAUCGUUGCCUGAUGGUGGCUUGUCAAUGCGACGGCCCCGUACUCGGGGUGUGCGUCACGGCAUUUGGCCGUUGGCUUUAUCUGAGAAGCCCCUUGGCACGUUGAGGUCCGUGGCCUCCGUGCAGCCUAGGGACAGGUCACAGGCUCUUGUCUGUUGCCCGUGGUUGUGGGUUUAUUCCCAGGUGUUGGCUGUGCUGCGUUGUCCUUCCCUUCUGGAAAGUUGUGCCUGUGUGUGCGUGUUCCCCUUCCUUUCCUUGUUUGUGUUUGUGGAGUGGUUGAGCGGCUGUGCUUUCCCUUUAGGCCUCCACAAAGAUGGCUGCAGCUUAGCUUUGACUUCCCAGGGGGGAAUGGAGGACUUUGGUGCAUGCCGCAAAAGGGGUGUUCCCUCUUAGUCCUGCGAGCGCAGCGAGUGUCCUGUCUUCCUACUAUUUUCCUUAGUGCAGAUCAGAGCCACACGGUAGUUCUGUGGCCAAGGCCUCCCUGUAGCCAGGGCUUGGGCCUGUCCUUGCGUGGCUGCCUGUCCUGCUGGCGGCGGUGACAGCCCCGUACUCGGGGUGUGUGUCCCAAGCUUCGGAGCCCUCUGUCCCUGAGCAGCCCGCCCGCCCUGUAAUCAGGUGUGGGGAGGCUGCAGCGUUGCAGCCGGCUGCUUUAGCCAUCCAGCUGGUGGGAGUGACCCCUCCCUGUCCCGUCAGAGGGUGCAGGUUGAGGUGCUGUUUGUGUGUGGGGUGACCUCCCCGCUCGGUGGGUCGAGGUAGCUCCCUGGGCUUCCAAAGACGAGACGUUGGUGAUGUUCUGCUGCUGCCGGGCGGGCCAGCCUGUAACUCAGGCGUUGGCGGGAGCCUCGUGCUCCGCGGGGCUUCUUGAAGAGGGUGAGGUGUGGGGGUACCGUCCUGUAGGCAGGGCUGUGUGUGCCCCCCGUGUGUGCUUGGUGAGCUGCGUUCUGAGAGACCCCCUGUACUCAGGUGGGAAUGUGGCCCCGGCCUUUCAGAGGCGCGGGGCCGUGAGAUGCGGGGUGGGGCUUGCGCCCUCCCUGGAAUCGGGGCUGGGAUCCCGACUGCGGCCUUUGGCCGUGCCGCCCCGCUGCCUGGCUGCUGAGAGUUGCUCCUGCCGCUGGGGGGGAAACCGAGCUCUGUGGCUCCAGGGGUGUUGUCCACCCGCCUGUAAUCAGGGUCUGGGUGCGUGAGCGUUUGUGCUCUGCUGGCAGCCUGUGUGGGGUGACCGCCCCGCUAGCGGGGUGUGGGUCGAGGUGCCCCGGACUGGGAGAGAAGGAGCCUCCCUCGGCCGUAGGGAUGGGGGCUGCCCUGUAAGUCAGGGAGCAUCUGUGUCCCGGAGUCCCAGGCCCUUUUCAAUGGCGGCAGUGGCCGGGGGUCCCCUGUAAGCAGGGAAGCUGACUCUUUGGCUGCUGCUUUUUGUGUGCCCAGCCCCAUUUGCCCAGUCUGCCCGCCUCUGUGAUCCCCCGCAGCACUGGCUGGAAGUCCGCCGCGUGUCAGUGAGGAGCUGCUGCAGAAGGAAGAAGAAGAAGCAGCGUGGGACCUGGGAGGCAGGAGCAAGCAAGAAGAGGAAGCGGAAGCGUGCAGAUGCGGGGGGGAAGGAGAGAGGCUCCCUGGGCAAAGCACCUGUCCCGUUAGCAGGGGCACAGUCACGUUUGAGUUGAGAGCUGCCGGCGCCUUUGGUGACCAGGCUGGCGUUGUGCUGGGCGACCUCCCCGUAAGCGGGGCUCGGGUCUUUGCUGUAGUUGGCCUUUUGCCUUGCUGCUCCUUUGGCUGCCUGGGGAGCGUGGCCCCCUGUAACGGAGGGCGAGAGCCACCUCUCCGCACCUGAGUG
Gallus gallus (chicken) is the source of this 5725-nucleotide long non-coding RNA. RefSeq lists it as uncharacterized. The transcript is spliced from 6 exons. The record is from RefSeq and is a predicted model, not a curated record. NCBI's taxonomy places the organism in Eukaryota, Metazoa, Chordata, Aves, Galliformes, Phasianidae.